This 494-nucleotide long non-coding RNA is filed under the name Monodelphis domestica (gray short-tailed opossum). RNAcentral describes it as "lncRNA (ENSMODG00000006316.4)". Lineage: Eukaryota; Metazoa; Chordata; Mammalia; Didelphimorphia; Didelphidae. The record is from RNAcentral.
UUCUUAUUCCUCUUUCCCUUUAUUUCUAGUCUUAAGAUCUUCAAGAUAUAACAGAACCACCCUGAAAGCUUUGUUUAAUUAAUAUCUGACUCUGUCCCCUGGUGUUGAUAGACUUCAGAGAGUACUGAAAUAGGAAUGAUAAUCCAUGUGACUAUUGAGAGAGCUGCUACUAGUAUGGGGACACACCUGCCUAUUUGCAAUGGAGAUAGAAGUACUUUGAGAGACAUUGAGAAAUACUGCUACAGAGAUAGAGGGAUGCUGCCACAGGGGAAUGCUCUGGGGUUUGCCUAUAAUCUCUUCUGAUGGCUGAUAGAUCAGUCUAUUUCCUAACCUCCUCCUCCCUUCACUCCCAGAUCCCACACACUCCCUCACCCCCUUCUCCCUUCUUUCAGCUUCUUGCUCCCAGUUUCUUCUUGAAACUUGUGGCUUUGCCCCUCCCCUCUGAGUGGGCAAGAAGAUACGCUUGUUUUCUUUCUCAGGUAUCUUUCAGAUGA